RNAcentral lists this unclassified non-coding RNA (312 nucleotides) under fungal sp. RNAcentral's name for it is "partial internal transcribed spacer region". The stretch from base 1 to 46 matches the Rfam family "Eukaryotic small subunit ribosomal RNA", at positions 1786 to 1831 of the family's 1831-position model. The record is from RNAcentral. Lineage: Eukaryota; Fungi.
AAGUCGUAACAAGGUUUCCGUAGGUGAACCUGCGGAAGGAUCAUUAAUGAAUUAUCUGUUUGUAUGCAAAUAUAAACAAACCCCCUUCAUUAUCCUUUCUACCUGUGAACUGUAUUAUUCUUUCGCGUGACUUUGUAUCAUUUCUUCUGUGUUUUGUUUUCUUAACAAACCAGGAAAAAGGCUACAUAGACUGCAAAGAACAACAUCAACCAAAACAACGUAUCAAAAGAAUGUGAUUUUUAUAAUCAAAUUGUGUAAUGCAAUAUGAUCAAAAACAAAACACAACUUUUAGCAACGGAUCUCUUGGCUCUC